RNAcentral lists this transfer RNA (68 nucleotides) under Eublaberus distanti. Its description in RNAcentral is "tRNA-Trp". Lineage: Eukaryota; Metazoa; Arthropoda; Insecta; Blattodea; Blaberidae. The record is from RNAcentral.
AAGGUUUUAAGUUAAAUUCAAACUUAUAGCCUUCAAAGCUAUCUAUAAAGAGGUUUCUUUAAGCCUUA